Thalassophryne amazonica is the source of this 91-nucleotide long non-coding RNA. RefSeq lists it as uncharacterized. Lineage: Eukaryota; Metazoa; Chordata; Actinopteri; Batrachoidiformes; Batrachoididae. The transcript is spliced from 3 exons. The record is from RefSeq and is a predicted model, not a curated record.
AAGCUACAAUGUGUAGGAUUUAGGGUGUUUCUCAGCAGAAAGGGAAUAUACUAUUCAUAACCAUGUGUUCAUUAGUGUGUAAUUCCUGUAA